This is a long non-coding RNA of Bufo bufo (common toad), 2741 nucleotides long. RefSeq lists it as uncharacterized. The transcript is spliced from 2 exons. The record is from RefSeq and is a predicted model, not a curated record. NCBI's taxonomy places the organism in Eukaryota, Metazoa, Chordata, Amphibia, Anura, Bufonidae.
GUAAAAUAGUUUUUAUUUCUGAGAUGAAACAAAUCACGGAUACACAGAAUGAUAAUAAUCAACGAGACGCGUUCAGAACCUGGCGCUUUACAAGACACAUGAAGACGUGGCGACGUUUUCCGAGGAGGAAUGUAAACAAGUUCUGCGCUUAUAUAAAAAAUAUGGUGCAUUUAUUCCGUUAUACAGUAUGAAACUGCCGCCGUGAACACGUUACCCUCCCCCACCACCAUCUUGGUGUACAGAAAAUAAAGAGAACAAAAAUAUCUUCUUUUUGGCUUUUUUUUUCCCACCUGCUUGACUAAGUCAGAACAUUCUCUGGAAGUCAUGUAAACGCUCUGGUUACGGUCGCACAAUCGCCGCCGUUUGAUAUCAUGUCCCUGAGUGACGCAAUGACGGUCUCCUCUCAGCUUAAUGUAUAGAACAAGAGGAAGCCGCAGGAAACACUGAGGUCCAGCAAAAAUCUAAGAAAAAGAAAAAAAGUCUUGGGGCGUCCACCGGCUGCACGCUCACUCCACGGUUUGGGUUACAGCAUCUGGAAUGUUCACUACUGACGUGAAACGCGUCCGUGGGUGAAACUGAUAUUCGUGAAACGUGGCAUCAAUGCAUCGGGAGCCACUCAUAGAAAUAAGGCACAAAGGCGGCCCAUCCAUGGAAGAGGAGCCAUUGAUCUCCUUGCGUAUGAGCCGCGGCGCAGCGCUGAGCCGCACUAUGGUGUGGCCGGGAAGCUGCAGCUGUCACUUCCGUAAAGUGAGUGGGAAUUGGCGCAGUGGCACUGUGAUGGGAGCGCACGCUGUACAAUGCCAACAUGAGGUCUGGGCCGUACAGACGUGCACCUUGUGCCUCCGCAAGGUUCCCUACGAACAGCUGGGCUACAGCAGAACGAAAGUCAUUUUAGCCCACAACGUGGCGUUUACAGCGGGGGGGGGGACAAGUACAGAACAUAAAAUAAUCUCCAUUUUUGGCAUAAUCACAGUAUGGAGGGAAGGUCGGAGCACAACCCUAUAAUCUCACGAAACGAGCGGACUGAUGGAGGGGCAUAGGCUGCCGCAGCAAACAAGGUGGGGGGUCCUCCAGACCAGCGUCACACUGACCGGUUAAUCUUAUUUUCGGGUGCCAUAACCCUUUUCCUUCUUCCGUCCUCCUUUCCCAGUUUUUCUUAAAGGGAACCGCUAACCUGGAACAGUUACUUUACGUUUCCUAAAGUGGUUGUGCAGAAUUAGGAAAAUAUGGUGGCUACUGGUCGAGAACCGCACCUCAAUAGAGUUGAGGUGCAAUACCAGACACAACCUGUGGAAGAGGGGAGCGCUGUGUUCAGGAAAGCGGCCAUGUUUUUCUAAUCCUACACAAGAUGGGUUGUCUGAGAUAAUGAGAUAUAUCUCCAAUAUCCCGCCUGCUGUCAUCCCUUUCUCCAGGGCCGUUCUCUGCACCACCAUUAUACCGGCACAUCACUACUGCAGUCUGUAAACCAAACAACUGGCGGCGCAGAGAACGGCGAUGGAGGAGGCGGCGGCGAGUACGUAAUCUAUUUUUGACAACAUUUAGGGACAUCGGUAAAAUUUCUAAUUAUCUCAGACAACACCCUGAAAUCUCAUUGAUGCUUUAUUUAGUAGAGGGCGGAGCUGCACCCACAAAAUCCUCCCAAAGCACCAAUCAGAGGGCUGAAAAAUGUCUCAUUACAAAAGCCCCUCCCCCUAGGAGCCUUCUCAAUCUUUCUCUAGAGUCACGUGACACUUCUGCACAGGCAACAUUUACUUCUCGGCCUCCUGAUUGGCUCUUGUGCCGGUAUUCAGUGGGGGUCACUGUACUACUUGGGCUUUGAUACCAAAUGUCACGUUAUAAAGGAACCAGAUCUGGAGAACAUUUUCCUUUAACGAGGGGGACAUGACGAAUGAAGUAUUCCUAAUACAGUGCGGUCUGGGGAGACAUGGCAGAUCCUCCUUCAUGGCGGUAAGAAGUAAUCCUUGCGGUCAGAUUGUCGGCAUUCAAAUAAAGGGGGUGAUGAGAAGCAUCAACCCCGAUCAUUCUCAUCUAGCCCCAUUUACCUUGCUGCGAUGUCAGGGGCUGUGCGAGGGGAAGCACAUAAAGUGGCAGAGGAUUCUGGGUGAAAUCAGUUAUCGGAUACCUGGAGUCAUGGGGUAAAGUACAGAGACCAUGGUGCACACAACUUAAAGGGCAUCUCCACCUGGGAACCAGAGGUCUCCUUUCUAUGCGGAGGCUUCACCUCUCCCCCAGGUCUGGGCAGUACAGAUUUAACCUCUGAAGGAAACUCCUCAGCAGUGGUUGAUCCUCCUUUCUGCAGCAGCCUAACUGCACUCGGGUCAGAGGUCAGCGGAUUCUUCCUCAGUCCACUGGAUCAGACCCGUAUCUAAGACCAGGAGAAUAGUCUGGAAGCUGCAAGUAUUACCAAUGCACUGCUGGACCCCCACUAAGGCCUGCUGCACAAGAAUAUGGGGUCUUCACAGAUGGCACUGCACCAGUCCAAGGUUAGGAGAACAGGGUUCAUCUUCUGGAGAGCAGGCCAAGGUCUUAUUACAGUGCACUGGAGCAUGGGUACAGGGUCUUCAUACAGUGCACUGGACAUCAGGGGUGCAGGAUCUUCAUACAGUGCACUGAACAUUAGGGGUGCAGGAUCUUCAUACAGUGCACUGAACAUCAGGGGUACAGGGUCUUCAUACAGUGCACUGAACAUCAGGGGUGCAGGGUCUUCAUACAGUGCACUGGAUAUCAGGGGUGCAGGAUCU